This 468-nucleotide ribosomal RNA is filed under the name uncultured bacterium. RNAcentral's name for it is "partial 16S ribosomal RNA". It matches the Rfam family "Bacterial small subunit ribosomal RNA", at positions 28 to 507 of the family's 1533-position model. The record is from RNAcentral.
GACGAACGCUGGCGGCGUGCUUAACACAUGCAAGUCGAACGGAAAGGCCCUGCUUUUGUGGGGUGCUCGAGUGGCGAACGGGUGAGUAACACGUGAGUAACCUGCCCUUGACUUUGGGAUAACUUCAGGAAACUGGGGCUAAUACCGGAUAGGAGCUCCUGCUGCAUGGGGGGGGUUGGAAAGUUUCGGCGGUUGGGGAUGGACUCGCGGCUUAUCAGCUUGUUGGUGGGGUAGUGGCUUACCAAGGCUUUGACGGGUAGCCGGCCUGAGAGGGUGACCGGCCACAUUGGGACUGCGGUACGGCCCAGACUCCUACGGGAGGCAGCAGUGGGGAAUCUUGCACAAUGGGCGGAAGCCUGAUGCAGCAACGCCGCGUGCGGGAUGACGGCCUUCGGGUUGUAAACCGCUUUCGCCUGUGCCGAAGCGUGAGUGACGGUAAUGGGUAAAGAAGCACCGGCUAACUACGUG